GACACUCGUAUUACUGUAGAAGAAACUGCAUGUUUUCAUAGCAACAGCAGCAUGGCUAAACGCAAGUACGACAGCGAGUACAUUAAAUAUGGAUUUUCCUACAUCGAAGACAAAGGAGUCCAAAAGCCUCAGUGUAUUUUGUGUUGUGAGGUACUGGCAAGUGAAAGCAUGAAGCAUGAAUAAACUUUUCGAGCGGUUUAGCGAUUACUUUCCCGAUAAACAACCCGAGGACGACUGGGUGCGCGACCCGUUUGGAAUAAACAUGGAAAGCAUCACGUUGCCUAGCAGCGAUGAAUGUCAGCUGGUGGAGCUAUCAUGUGACCGCACUCUCAGAAAGAAAUUCACAGAGGACACUCGCAUCUGUAGCCGCUGACCGUGUUGAUGCACUUUCCGACUGUACACGGAGCCGACAGGCAUCCGUCCACGUCCUCGUCGCAGAGUUCCCCCCGUUUACCCUCAGGACAGACGCACAGUGAAGGAGCUCUGGGCGUUGCACUCGUCGGACAGCAUGAAGCGGAAGGAGCGUCUCGCCUGAUGCCCCUGCACCUCUGGAAGCGUUGGGACCCUCCAGAUGAGGAGGCCGGCGGGGGACAACAUGGCGCCCUCCGGUCCCUCCUCUAGCUGGAAGAGCAGCGCCGAGCCCUCGGGGUCUGACGCCGCAAACUGGAAGACGAAAUUCUCCCCGGCGAACGUCCGCAAGUCGCCUUGAGGCUGGUGGAAGGCCGGCGGCUCGUUGACUGAAAACACACAGAACAGACUGAGAUGUAAUUUGUGAUUUGAGUCUCUGUGUACAAAUACCAGAGAUUAUUACCACCUUCUUAUUCCCCACGCUCUAGCUACAAGUGUCUGAUGACAGAACCUUCCUGUUCCUGAAACAAAGUCUUUAUAUGCAGGCUUGGUUUGGCAAAAACACCCCUCCAGGCUGUUCCUGGAAGAGUCAUUGUAAACACACAUGUUGAUGCCUUGGGGGAGAUUUUCUUUCCAACUGUGGCUCUCAACGGCCAUUUCACCAAGAUCAUGUAGCGUCCCCGGCUGAGAUUUACCACAGAUGUUCAAGAGGAAGAAAGCGAUGAUAAUUCCAGGAAACACCUGCUUCUUAGUCAAGGGUGAAGAAAUCAACAAGACUCGUGCUAAUAAUAAACUCCUAAACUAACAGUAUUGAAAUCACAAAAAGUCUGUCAGUGAGAGCAGUUAAACGACAGGUCAGGGCAUGCUGGGAAACCUAAACCUCCGCUCCUUUGAUCUGCUAAUGGAGACAAACCGGACCUCAGUUGGACAGCUAGCCCAGCAGCAGACUACUGCCACUGCACUAAUACAACCAGGUGAACUUGGAAGUUUCGGGAUCACACAGGAGGCAAGGGCUGCUGGGAUUGGAGUGUCCUGCUGCGAAACACAUCCCGUCGAUGUUACACGUCCGCUCCUGGCAAACAGAAAAAGUGGCGUGGCAGCUCAAGUCCGGAGAGUCGAUGAAGCCGAGGCCGAAGACGCGAACGCUACGACAGUCGACGGCUCGGAUGUCACAGAGUCCACUGUUCUCCAAAUCGGUUAUCUCGACUGGCUGGCCUGGGGGAGGAGAGAUGUUUUUUAUUGAGUAUAUUUCAAGUCUGACCUGGAUCGUGGACACUCAGAGCCAGAGGGACUCCACACUGGUGGUCGUGGCCGAAGCAGGGGAUGGGCACAGUGCUGUGGACGGUCACCUCAUGCUCUUUACUGUUCUCUGCCAUGUGGAGUGAAUCUGGAGAAAACUGAGGAGACACACAGGCUCUAGGAAUCCGUUUAUUUACCUACAACUGACCACAAGUGAAGGAUUUCUGCUGACGGACUUCACGUCGCCUCAGGAAAAAAGGCUUUGUUUUGGCCAGAAAUGCCUGGUAUUCCUGCUGCAAAGCUCUGCGAGGACCCUCAGUGUUUGAUUUUACGACGGCCCGCCUUAAAGUUUACGACUGUGAGCUUUGAUGUGUUGUUGGACACCUCGGAGACAAAGAUGUGAGGAGGAUGGAGGACGGGUUGGACAGAAUGAAACAACUGGGAUUUCUUACUGUCAAGUACUAAUUUAAUUUGCUGAAGCUGCAGGAAUUCAUGUGUAAAAUUCUGCACUUUUUUGUCGCAUGUUGUUAAAACCUGACAGCUGUGAAGACAACUUUUAUGUGACUUUUUGUGCUAAAAUCAUAAAACUUUUGUGCAUCUUUUACAGUUGUCUUUUAAAAUCGUGACCACAUCUUACACUGUAAAAAACUGCAUUUUAAAAAAGUUUUAACUUGAAACAUUUAAUGCUACUUUACAGAUUUGACCUGUUUGUUACAUUACAGAAAACUCAAAAAAUCUCAGAUGAAAAUGAUUAAUUUAAAUAUUAACUGUCUGCAAAAAAAGGGUAAAAACUGGAAAUAAUGUUCACAUCGAAACUUGGUUUUGUUUUUUUUGUUGUUUUUUUUUUUUUUACAAAUUAACGUGUUCUCUUACAAUAUUUGAAUGUGAAAUUAAGAUUUUUAAUUUUUAUUUCUUUUCAUUUUUUCAGAAAAUAACUAGUAAAAUCACCAAAAAAUAUUAAUUUAUCUGGUAUUUUCUAGCUGUUUGAAAUCAGGGAAAUUUUAAAUAA
Long non-coding RNA from Amphiprion ocellaris (clown anemonefish), 2596 nucleotides. RefSeq lists it as uncharacterized. The record is from RefSeq and is a predicted model, not a curated record. The transcript has 9 exons. Lineage: Eukaryota; Metazoa; Chordata; Actinopteri; Pomacentridae.